UACGUAGGGGGCAAGCGUUGUCCGGAUUUACUGGGCGUAAAGCGCGCGUAGGCGGCCACGCGGGUCCGUUGUGAAAACUAGAGGCUCAACCUCUAGACGUCGACGGAAACCGUGUGGCUAGAGUCCGGAAGAGGAGAGUGGAAUUCCUGGUGUAGCGGUGAAAUGCGCAGAUAUCAGGAAGAACACCAAUGGCGAAGGCAGCUCUCUGGGAUGGUACUGACGCUGAGACGCGAAAGCGUGGGGAGCGAACAGG
Molecule: ribosomal RNA, 253 nt
Filed under: uncultured bacterium
Lineage: Bacteria
Description: partial 16S ribosomal RNA
Rfam family: Bacterial small subunit ribosomal RNA
Source: RNAcentral